GGCCCGGUGGUCAAGAGGUUAAGACACCGCCCUUUCACGGCGGUAACACGGGUUCGAAUCCCGUCCGGGUCACCA
Molecule: transfer RNA, 75 nt
Filed under: Clostridia bacterium
Lineage: Bacteria; Bacillati; Bacillota; Clostridia
Also listed under: 1 other name
Description: tRNA-Glu
Rfam family: tRNA
About the family: Transfer RNA (tRNA) molecules are approximately 80 nucleotides in length.
Source: RNAcentral